This 30-nucleotide non-coding RNA is filed under the name Mus musculus (house mouse). The record is from RNAcentral. Lineage: Eukaryota; Metazoa; Chordata; Mammalia; Rodentia; Muridae.
UGAAAAUUGCCCUAUAAAGUGUCUAAAGGC